RNAcentral lists this long non-coding RNA (1378 nucleotides) under Struthio camelus australis. RNAcentral describes it as "lncRNA (ENSSCUG00000005916.1)". The record is from RNAcentral. Lineage: Eukaryota; Metazoa; Chordata; Aves; Struthioniformes; Struthionidae.
GGAGCUGGCACCAGACACGACCGCCCGUGCACCAGGGAAGGGGAGGAGCUGGAGGGCUUCGGUGGGCUGCGGUGAUGCCACGAGAGCCACAGCCAGUUGAAGAGCGCUGCACGCCUCUGCAGAUGCCAUGGCCCUUCAUGCCUCUUCCAGGCACCAGUCCUGAACCACCAUUCCCAUCCAGAUGGGAAACUGAGCCACCAAAAACGACUCACUGCCGAAAAGUGGUCCCUGACUCACACAGAGGGCACCAUCCUGCAGCGCAGAGGAGCUGUCAGGGCCCAGUUUCUCCCGUUCGUCUGCUCAAGGGUGUGCCAUCACUCACGAAGCACAAGGUGGGACUCAGCGCUCUGACUGCAGCCGCACAAGCGAUACGGUCUUCUGCUCCACUUGCACUUGAGACCAGCGCAAUGCGGACACUAUCUGGAAGAGGAGGCAAGGGCAGUGGCCUUAAGUCCAUCCCAGGAGACCGUGGCACGUGCUGGGAGAGGCAGACGGCUGCUGGUAACUCGCUCCUAUUGCUGGAGGGGCCAAUAGCAGCCUGGGAAACAGCAAGAGCCGCAAAGCCCCGGCCCAAGGUCACCUCCCUGCCCAGCACCUUCUCGGCCUCGUGUCUGCCCUGGCUCCAGGGCGGUCAGCGGCCACCAUCUUCACCAGCCCCAGGGCCACACCGGGACCCCGGGCAAGUCACAGCUGUGCCACAGGACCCUGUCUCCAAGCCGCAGCAUGCAAACCCCUCCAACUCAACAGCUCAAGAUUGCCACCGCACUACGGCAGGAUGCCGAAACCCCAGGAGCAGGAGUCCUCAGUACGCCGAAACCCCAGGAGCAGGAGCCCACAGCAGGAUGUGGGGCUCUAUCCGACACAGCAUCACCGAGCACGGGGCACAACCAUCCCCAAGUCCUCGUCCUCUCUCCAAACCCCGCCAUGCCCGCAGGGUGAAGCCUGGUCAAAGCCACCACCUCCCUCUCCUGCCCCAAACGAGAGCUUGUGGAGUCCUCCAAACCUGGGGGCUCCGUGUCUCUCCCCGAGGCCAUCCCUGGGGAGGGACACGGCCACGUGCGGGGCUCGCCGCGCCGGCUGAGCCAAAGCUGCGAGGAGGGCGGCCCCGGGGAGACGGCUCGAGUGCCCGUAAACAUCUGAAGUGAAAUAAAGAGGGAGAUGGGGGCAGGGAGAGGAUUCUCUGCAGGCGGCAACGCAGCCAGCAGCAGCUACAGCAAGAAAAAUGUAGGUCGUCUCGGAAAAGAUGUGUCAGAGGAGGGAGCCAGGCAAGCGAGGGAGGGAGCCUGGAGAGGAGAUGCGAGGCGAGGAGAGAAGAGGCAACACAGGGACAAGAGCGAGAGCCUGUGCCGGGCCCAUCAGGAAGGAGCCGAAGGACAGG